AGUGAACGCUGGCGGUAGGCCUAACACAUGCAAGUCGAACGGCAGCACAGUAAGAGCUUGCUCUUACGGGUGGCGAGUGGCGGACGGGUGAGGAAUACAUCGGAAUCUACUUUUUCGUGGGGGAUAACGUAGGGAAACUUACGCUAAUACCGCAUACGACCUACGGGUGAAAGCAGGGGAUCUUCGGACCUUGCGCGAUUGAAUGAGCCGAUGUCGGAUUAGCUAGUUGGCGGGGUAAAGGCCCACCAAGGCGACGAUCCGUAGCUGGUCUGAGAGGAUGACCCGCCCAAGUGAACUUGAACACCGGUCAGGCCCCCUCGGGAAGGCCCAGUUGGGGAAGUUUGGAAAAUGGGGGCAAGCCUGAACCAGCCACGCCGGGGGGGGGAAGAAGGCCUUCGGGUGGUAAAGCCUUUUUUUGGGGAAAAAAAAAUAGCGGGUUAAUCCCCCCGUGUUUUGCGGGAACCCAAAAAAAAGGCCCCGCCAAAUUUCGU
RNAcentral lists this ribosomal RNA (491 nucleotides) under uncultured bacterium. RNAcentral describes it as "partial 16S ribosomal RNA". It matches the Rfam family "Bacterial small subunit ribosomal RNA", at positions 29 to 506 of the family's 1533-position model. The record is from RNAcentral.